AACGAACGCUGGCGGCAGGCCUAACACAUGCAAGUCGAACGCCCGUAGCAAUACGGGAGUGGCAGACGGGUGAGUAACGCGUGGGAACGUGCCCUUCGGUUCGGAAUAACUCAGGGAAACUUGAGCUAAUACCGGAUACGUCCGUAAGGAGAAAGAUUUAUCGCCGAAGGAUCGGCCCGCGUCGGAUUAGCUAGUUGGUGAGGUAACGGCCCACCAAGGCGACGAUCCGUAGCUGGUCUGAGAGGANGAUCAGCCACACUGGGACUGAGACACGGCCCAGACUCCUACGGGAGGCAGCAGUGGGGAAUAUUGGACAAUGGGCGAAAGCCUGAUCCAGCCAUGCCGCGUGAGUGAAGAAGGCCUUAGGGUUGUAAAGCUCUUUCAGCGGGAAGAUAAUGACGGUACCCGCAGAAGAAGCCCCGGCUAACUUCGUGCCAGCAGCCGCCGCUGUAAU
RNAcentral lists this ribosomal RNA (454 nucleotides) under uncultured bacterium. RNAcentral's name for it is "bacterial SSU rRNA". It matches the Rfam family "Bacterial small subunit ribosomal RNA", at positions 29 to 524 of the family's 1533-position model. The record is from RNAcentral.